Molecule: non-coding RNA, 121 nt
Organism: Erinaceus europaeus (western European hedgehog)
Lineage: Eukaryota; Metazoa; Chordata; Mammalia; Eulipotyphla; Erinaceidae
Source: Rfam
CAGCCGCGGCCCUAGGGACCGGUGCGUACUCCGGGCUGAGCUCCGGCCGUCACCCCGCGGCCACCGACAACUGAAUAAACACUCAAAAACCCCUGCAAUCUGUCAAGGGCUGAGGCUGCCU